Molecule: long non-coding RNA, 227 nt
Filed under: Homo sapiens (human)
Lineage: Eukaryota; Metazoa; Chordata; Mammalia; Primates; Hominidae
Description: non-protein coding lnc-SLC39A11-1:27
Source: RNAcentral
CAGCAUUCUCAGGGCCUUCUGCCAAGGGCCCGCUUUGAUCUCCCUUAAAGGACAGCAUUAUCUGACCAGAGGAACUCUGAAAGCCACAUGUUGAGAUGGCCCCAUUACAGGAUGGAGAGCACCUGAACCCCCAAGUUAUGGACUAGAAGAAGACAGUUGCCCUGGAAAAUCAUCUGACCCACAUUGGACUUUAUGUGAGGGGGAAAUAAACCUUUAUUAUGUUAAGC